Papaver somniferum (opium poppy) is the source of this 923-nucleotide long non-coding RNA. RefSeq lists it as uncharacterized. The record is from RefSeq and is a predicted model, not a curated record. Lineage: Eukaryota; Viridiplantae; Streptophyta; Magnoliopsida; Ranunculales; Papaveraceae. The transcript is spliced from 6 exons.
UUAACCUUUCCAUUUCAUUUCCCUUCUUUAUUUCUGAUUAAAAAGCCAGAAGAAGAAUUUGCAUCGCCUCUGUCGCUCCCACACCGUCAUCUCUGUGGCUCCAUCACCACCACCAUCUCGAUCGCCUCCACCACAACUAGCACCACCACCUCCAAAGUGAGAAAGGUGGUGAGUAUGGUGAGAACAAUGGAUACCAAGGAGGAGAUCGCAGUGGUGGUCGUGGUGGUGGAGGGAGACGGGGUUCUACAAAAGAGAAAAUAGAUAUGGAAAGGCCCCUUCUACAACAACAUUCGAGGGAUUUGUAAUUCACAUACAGUACUUCUAUGGUUCUGUUUCGCUGCUUCCACUGACUGCUGCAAGUGCUGCCUGCUCCAUGUCGUUCUUGGACUCUAGAUUUUGGGGACAAAAAAUUGCUUUCACUUUUGGAGGCAACUUGACUUGAGCUAGUUGAUUCCAGAUUCGGAGGCAACUUGAGCUAGUUGGCUCUGUUUUUUCUAUUAUUUCUUUUUGUUGAAUGAAGUAGCACGACUGAAUCCAUGUCAGAAGAUGUGUGUUCGACUCACGCCAGGUUCACUCAUUCGUGGAAAUAUACUGUCGAGUUUCAAAGGAAAAGGAUGUAAUCGUAAUUUUGCAAGAGGUGUGGUGGGUCUGGUAGGCUUACGAUUCGCAGUCGUUUAAUGCCGGAAAGCCGCAUUGGAUCAUCGUGCACCAAUAUUCCGAAGGCAGACGAAGGAUUUCAAACUUCUACAGGCUUAUGUUCCUAUGAAAUUUUCCAUUUUCCAGUUUGUUUGAACUUGUUUUAUAUUUUUUUAACUUGCUUUGCAAGUUUUUAUUUUGUGAACUUCUUUUUUGUUUUACCUGUUAUAUUGCAAUUGUUCCAAACAAUUUGUUGUUCUUGUAAUAGUGAAUUGUCUUUAUAUUUC